RNAcentral lists this ribosomal RNA (170 nucleotides) under Chaetodermis penicilligerus (prickly leatherjacket). RNAcentral's name for it is "partial 12S ribosomal RNA". The record is from RNAcentral. Lineage: Eukaryota; Metazoa; Chordata; Actinopteri; Tetraodontiformes; Monacanthidae.
CACCGCGGUUAUACGAGAGGCCCAAGCUGAUAGACAUCGGCGUAAAGCGUGGUUAGGAUGAUUUAAUUAAUUAGAGUCGAAUGUUUUCAAGGCUGUUAUACGCACCCGAAAACUAGAAGCACAACAACGAAAGUGACUUUAAAAGGUCUGAACCCACGAAAGCUAAGGCA